Molecule: unclassified non-coding RNA, 123 nt
Filed under: uncultured fungus
Lineage: Eukaryota; Fungi
Description: sequence contains ITS1
Source: RNAcentral
ACAAAGGGGGAAAAGUAAAAAAAUUUCCCCCGAAAUCCUGUAUUCACCCCAAGUUCCUUUAAAACUUACAAUAAAAACUUGCAAAAAGACCACCUCGUACGGUGGCGCUUAAUGCAUAUGCGA